AAUAAAUCUGUUUAAAAGCAAUGAACGGAUGCCUUGGGUAAAAAAGAGGAUGAAGGACGUGACAGGCUGCGAAAAGUCUCGAUGAGGUGCCAAUAACCGCUUGGAGUCGAGAAUGUCCGAAUGGGGAAACCUAAGCCGUAUAACGGCUUGCCGAAAUGGCCAAUACUUGGUGAAGUGAAAUAUCUCAGUAACCAAAGGAAAAGAAAUCGUAAUGAGAUUCCCUUAGUAGUGACGAGCGAACAGGGAAGAGCCCAAACCGAAUUAGUGUAAGCUUCUAGGCGUUGCUAAUUACGGUGUUGUAGGGCUAUGUUGGAGUAGCUAGAACUGCUUCGAGAGUAUACUCUAUAAAUAGAAGAACUACUUAAAAGGUAGACCAUAGAGGGUUUAAGUCCCGUAUUUAAAAGUUAUAGAAACUCUUCAUAGUUCCUGAGUAAUGUCGGACACGUGAAAUCCGGCAUGAAUCUGCCCAGACCGUUGGGUAAGGCUAAAUACUUUUUUACACCGAUAGCGUAUAGUACCGUGAGGGAAAGGUGAAAAGAACCCCUGGAAGGGGAGUGAAAUAGAUUCUGAAAUUCAUUGCUUACAAUUGAGUGGGGGCCCACGCAGCAAUGCGGGGUGACCACGUACCUAUUGACGAAUGGGUCAGCGAGUCAUUGGUGCCAGCAAGGUUAAGCCAGUUAUAGGCGGAGCCGUAGCGAAAGCGAGUCUGAAUAGGGCGAUUGAGUUGGUAUUAAUGGACCCGAAGCGUUAUGAGCUAGGCAUGGGCAGGUUGAAGAGUCGGGAAACCGGCUUGGAGGACCGAACGGGUUGGAGCUGCAAAUCCUUCCGAUGACCUGUGUUUAGGAGUGAAAAGCUCAUCGAAUAACGUAAUAGCUGGUUCUCUCCGAAAUGCAUUUAGGUGCAGCCUAUAAUUAAGAUCUGAUGGAGGUAGAGCUCUGAUAAGGCUAGGGGUGUCGAGAGACAUUACCAAACCUUGUUAAACUUCGAAUGCUGUCAGGAAUAUUAUAGAGUGAGACUGCGGGCGCAAGGUUCGUAGUCAAAAGGAUAACAGUCCAGACUUCUAAUUAAGGUCCCUAAAGUAUAGCUAAGUGGUAAAGGAGGUGUUUUUACUUUGACAUCCAGGAGGUUUGCUUAGAAGCAGCAAUCCUUUAAAGAAAGCGUAACAGCUCACUGGACAAGUGAAGAUGCGCCGAAGAUGUAACGGGGCUAAGCUAUAUACCGAAAUUGAAGGCCUUCAACGUUAAGUUGGAGUGCGGUAGGAGAGUGUUCUUUCAGGAUGAAGCUAGACUGUGAGGUUUGGUGGACUAGAAAGAAGUAAAAAUGCUGACAUGAGUAACGACGCAAAGCGAAAAUCUUUGCUGCCGAAAACCUAAGAAUUCCUACGCAACGUUCAUCGUCGUAGGGUUAGUCGAGACCUAAGGUGAUGCCUGAAAAGGUACAUCGAUGGAUGGCUGGUUAAUAUUCCAGCACUUAUAUAUUCAGUGAUGGGGUAACGUAUUGGGAUUUGUAAGAGCUUGUUAAGGAUAUGAGUCGAAAGAAUAAAGUUUUUCUGGCUUUGGCUAGAAAGGUAUUGGUAGGAAAAUCCGCCAGUAUUGAUACUGAGUUUGAUCGGAAUCGCUUCCUUCGGGUUGUGAAAUUCUUAUCGUUCUAGUACCGAGAAAAACCUCUAAACUUAUGGAUAUAUAACUCGUAUUGAGAUCAGACACUUGUAGGUUGGUAGAGUAUACCUAGGCAAUCGAGAUAACUAAUGGAUAAGGAACUUGGCAAAAUAGCGGGCGUACUUUCGAAAUAAGCCCUACCCUAGCAAUAGGGUUGCAACAAAAGACAUGGGGGGAACUGUUUAUCACAAACACAGCUUGCUGCUAACUCGCAAGAGGAUGUAUAGCAAGUGAUGCCUGUCCAAUGCCAGAAUGUUAUGCUCUCUUGUGCAAGCUCGAGAGUUAAGCACUGGUGAAUGACGGCCGUAACUAUGACGGUCCUAAGGUAGCGAAAUUCCUUGUCAGGUAAGUUCUGACGCGCAUGAAUGGCAUAAUCAUCCCCAUACUGUCUUGUCCUUAGACUCGGUGAAAUUACAUUCCCGGUAAAAAUGCCGGGUAGUUGCAGUUAGACGGAAAGACCCUGUGAAGCUUUACUAUAGAUUGAUAUUGGAAUGUAGUAUGUGUUGCUCAGCAUAAGUGGGAGCCUUUGAGGCGGCAACUUCGGUUGUCGUGGAGGCAAAAUUGAGAUACCACUCAUUAUAUAUAGCAUUUCUAACCCCGCUAUUCAGCGGGGAACAGUGUCAGUUGGGUAGUUUACCUGGGGCUGGUGCCUCCUAAAAAGUAACGGAGGCGUGCAAAGGUUUGCUUGUCACGGAUGGAAACCGUGGUGGACGUGUAUUCGCAUAAGCAAGCUUGACUGUGAGACUGACAGGUCGAACAGAUACGAAAGUAGGCGAAAGUGAUCCGGAUCUUCCAAAUGGAAGGGGAUCCGCUCAACGGAUAAAAGUUACUCCGGGGAUAACAGGCUAAUGGAAUCUAAGCGUUCAUAGCGACGAUUCCGUUUGGCACCUCGAUGUCGACUCGUCGCAUCCUGGGGCUGUAGAAGGUCCCAAGGGUUGGGUUGUUCACCCAUUAAAGCGGGACGCGAGUUGGGUUCAGAACGUCGUGAGACAGUUCGGUCCCUAUCUACUGCAACCGUAAGAAAUUUGAGAGAUGCUGUCCCUAGUACGAGAGGACCGGGAUGGACAAGCCUCUGGUAGUACCAGUUGUUCCGCCAGGAGCACCGCUGGAUAGCUAUGCUUGGAAAAGGUAACCGCUGAAAGCAUAUAAGUGGGAAACUUGUCUCAAGAUUAGAUUUCUCUCCCGUAGCAAUACGGGCUAAGACCUCCGCGAGACUAGCGGUUUGAUAGGCAUCAUGUGUAAGUGUGGCAACAUAUUGAGCAGAGAUGUACUAAUUGGUCGAGUGGGUUUAUUUC
This 2953-nucleotide ribosomal RNA is filed under the name Candidatus Peribacteria bacterium. Its description in RNAcentral is "23S ribosomal RNA". It matches the Rfam family "Bacterial large subunit ribosomal RNA". The record is from RNAcentral. Lineage: Bacteria; Candidatus Peregrinibacteriota; Candidatus Peribacteria.